RNAcentral lists this ribosomal RNA (461 nucleotides) under uncultured bacterium. RNAcentral's name for it is "SSU rRNA". It matches the Rfam family "Bacterial small subunit ribosomal RNA", at positions 26 to 518 of the family's 1533-position model. The record is from RNAcentral.
AGAAUCAACGCUGGCGGCGUGCCUAACACAUGCAAGUCGAUCGAGAAAGUGGAGCAAUCCAUGAGUAAAGAGGCGCACGGGUGAGUAACACGUGACUAACCUACCUUCAAGUGGGGAAUAACCUGGGGAAACCCGGGCUAAUACCGCAUAAUACCUACGGGUCAAAGGAGCAAUUCGCUUGAAGAGGGGGUCGCGGCAGAUUAGUUAGUUGGCGGGGUAAUGGCCCACCAAGACGAUGAUCUGUAUCCGGCCUGAGAGGGCGCACGGACACACUGGAACUGAAACACGGUCCAGACUCCUACGGGAGGCAGCAGUGGGGAAUUUUGCGCAAUGGGGGAAACCCUGACGCAGCAACGCCGCGUGGAGGAUGAAGUCCCUUGGGACGUAAACUCCUUUCGACCGGGACGAUUAUGACGGUACCGGAUGAAGAACGCCCCGGCUAACUUCGCGCCAGCAGCCGC